Molecule: ribosomal RNA, 486 nt
Filed under: uncultured bacterium
Lineage: Bacteria
Description: partial 16S ribosomal RNA
Rfam family: Bacterial small subunit ribosomal RNA
Source: RNAcentral
UUGAACGCUGGCGGCAUGCCUUACCCAUGCAAGUCGCACGGCAGCACGGGUGCUUGCACCUGGUGGCGAGUGGCGAACGGGUGAGUAAUACAUCGGAACAUGUCCUGUAGUGGGGGAUAGCCCGGCGAAAGCCGGAUUAAUACCGCAUACGAUCUACGGAUGAAAGCGGGGGACCUUCGGGCCUCGCGCUAUAGGGUUGGCCGAUGGCUGAUUAGCUAGUUGGUGGGGUAAAGGCCUACCAAGGCGACGAUCAGUAGCUGGUCUGAGAGGACGACCAGCCACACUGGGACUGAGACACGGCCCAGACUCCUACGGGAGGCAGCAGUGGGGAAUUUUGGACAAUGGGCGAAAGCCUGAUCCAGCAAUGCCGCGUGUGUGAAGAAGGCCUUCGGGUUGUAAAGCACGUUUGUCCGGAAAGAAAUCCUUGGCCCUAAUACGGUCGGGGGGAUGACGGUACCGGAAGAAUAAGCACCGGCUAACUACGUG